GUGGAGGAAGAGCCUUUAGUGACGAAAAUGAAGUGAUGCCUUUAAAAGAGUGAGAGACUCAGCAGCUCAAACCGGAGAUCCAGACGGAGAGAGGAGCAUUCAGAGCUUCAGGCGCCUGCAGAGAAGAUGGAGAUGAAGAUGAGCUGUGUGUGUUUGGUGCUGGGGCUGGUCCUGCUGAUGACCGUCUCCUCAGAUGCUCAGCCUCUUGCCGUUUCCCAGGGCCAUCCUGACUUGUGCUGUUUCAACUUCGCCACUAGUGACAUUCCAGAUACGGAAAUAACAGGCAUUGUGAAAACACAUCACAACUGCCCAAAGUCCGGCUACGUGUUUACAACACCGAACGGCAGAUUCUGCAAGAAGGACCUGCAGUCCAGCCACAGCAAACAGAGCAGCUAAAAGCUUUACACGCCCAUUUAAUCAUCACAGGAUUUUAUCGACCAGCGCUUUGCUUUAUCAGUAUUAUCAGUGAUCUGUUUAACUCUGUGGAAAUAAAAGUCUAGACACAAUAUUUUGCUUCUUUUCAGUGUUAUUAAUGCUUAUUUUAUGCUGUGGAUUCAAAUAAAACUCUGUCUUGAGC
Molecule: long non-coding RNA, 577 nt
Organism: Pygocentrus nattereri (red-bellied piranha)
Lineage: Eukaryota; Metazoa; Chordata; Actinopteri; Characiformes; Serrasalmidae
Source: Ensembl